Molecule: small nucleolar RNA, 126 nt
Organism: Perognathus longimembris pacificus (Pacific pocket mouse)
Lineage: Eukaryota; Metazoa; Chordata; Mammalia; Rodentia; Heteromyidae
Product: small nucleolar RNA SNORA40
Exons: 1
Source: RefSeq, a predicted model, not a curated record
UGUGUGUGUGUGUGUGUGUGUUUAAUUUGUAACAAAGCCUUACAGACAGGUGCAGAAACAAAGAUCCUCUUUGCAAUCCAGAAUUCAUUGUUCAGUAUGUGUUUGAUUUAUUUGAGAAUGUGAAGU